This 127-nucleotide ribosomal RNA is filed under the name Escherichia coli. RNAcentral's name for it is "partial 16S ribosomal RNA". It matches the Rfam family "Bacterial small subunit ribosomal RNA", at positions 1413 to 1533 of the family's 1533-position model. The record is from RNAcentral. Lineage: Bacteria; Pseudomonadati; Pseudomonadota; Gammaproteobacteria; Enterobacterales; Enterobacteriaceae.
GGUUUUACCCGAAGGUGCUGUGCUAACCGCAAGGAGGCAGGCAACCACGGUAGGGUCAGCGACUGGGGUGAAGUCGUAACAAGGUAGCCGUAGGGGAACCUGCGGCUGGAUCACCUCCUUUCUAAGG